RNAcentral lists this long non-coding RNA (790 nucleotides) under Physcomitrium patens. RNAcentral's name for it is "long non-coding RNA (PPAT_LNC000989)". The record is from RNAcentral. Lineage: Eukaryota; Viridiplantae; Streptophyta; Bryopsida; Funariales; Funariaceae.
CACCCUUUAACCAUAUUUAUUGGCCAUUGGAAAAAUUAUUCCAAAAAACUUGGCUUAGCUUCAUCAACUAUGGAAGAGUGGAUUAGGAGUGGAUCCUAAUCCAAAGCAAAUACUUGCCAAACAAAAAUGCCAAGAACAUCCAAAGCUUUGCAGAUUGAUGGUGCACUAAACAAGUUUUUGCAAUAAUGGUAGAUGGCCACCUACAUUGGAUGUUAUGUGGGCCCGUUCAGGGAUUUGUAUUCCAACCUGGAUAGCAGCCUUUUACUUCCCGCCCCUUACAGGCCAUGGUUGAAUGAUUACUCUACUAACUUAUAGCUAGAUAGCACUAACUACCACUAACUCUAAGUCUGUCAGUCCCCUCAGGCUACAUACAGUCGACCCAUUGUAAUACAUCUUUUACUUGCAAUGAAAGUCUUUACAUUUGUGUCAAACAACAUAAAUAAGUAAAUAAAUAAAUCCAAAGGAACAGCUCUAUAAUGAAUCCUAAAGGAACAGGAGAAAAAACAGAGGGGAAAUACGUCGAAGGGAUGUCUCUCUCGGAUUCCAAGGAAUAGCUCAAAAGCAGAACUUCGAGUAGCAGCAUCAUAAUAGUCAGAAAAAACUUUGCCUCGGUGCUUAAGGCCACGGCUUGAACAUAUGCAUAAGCAUGGGGAAGGGCGUGCCAAGUGUCGAGGUAUCACUUGCAAGCCAUCCAUUGGCCCUUAUCGCUCUGCCUUGUAUCUCUUUCAUUUCUGGAUGCUACCUUAUCACCAACAUUCAGUGGUUGGGUGCAGGCCUCUCAGGCUGCGCC